This 224-nucleotide long non-coding RNA is filed under the name Mytilus galloprovincialis (Mediterranean mussel). Lineage: Eukaryota; Metazoa; Mollusca; Bivalvia; Mytilida; Mytilidae. The record is from RNAcentral.
AUUAAAUGUUUAAACGCGUUUACAACAUGUAGAGAAUGAUUAACAACAAUUAGCAUGGAGCUGUAUACUAAACAUGCUAAAUGUUAUCUUUUUAUGAGACGGCAUCUUGAGAAUUUCGGGAUCUUUACUUUUUUCUAUGAUGUGCUGCUUUUUAAUCUCAUGUGAUUUGUAACGUUAUGCCGCAACUAGCACAACAAUAAAACAAAUAAAGGCAACAUUAGUAU